Molecule: ribosomal RNA, 465 nt
Filed under: uncultured bacterium
Lineage: Bacteria
Description: partial 16S ribosomal RNA
Rfam family: Bacterial small subunit ribosomal RNA
Source: RNAcentral
GACGAACGCUGGCGGCGUGCUUAACACAUGCAAGUCGAACGGAAAGGCCCUGCUUGCAGGGUGCUCGAGUGGCGAACGGGUGAGUAACACGUGGGUGAUCUGCCCUGCACUUCGGGAUAAGCCUGGGAAACUGGGUCUAAUACCGGAUAGGAGCCAUCUUUAGUGUGAUGGUUGGAAAGUUUUUUCUGUGUAGGGUGAGCUCGCGGUCUAUCUGUGUGUUGGGGGGGUAAUGGCCUACCACGGCGGCGGCGGGUAGCCGGCCUGAGAGGGUGGACGGCGACAGUGGGACUGAGACACGGCCCAGACCCCUGCGGGGGAGAGGAGGGGGGAAUAGUGCAAAAUGGGCGAAAGCCUGAUGCAGAGACGCCGCGGGGGGGAUGACGGUCUGCGGGUUGUAAACGCUUUUCGCUAGGGAAGAAGCUUUUGGUGACGGUACCUAGAGAAGAAGCACCGGCUAACUACGUG